RNAcentral lists this ribosomal RNA (650 nucleotides) under uncultured bacterium. Its description in RNAcentral is "bacterial SSU rRNA". It matches the Rfam family "Bacterial small subunit ribosomal RNA", at positions 8 to 647 of the family's 1533-position model. The record is from RNAcentral.
AGAGUUUGAUCCUGGCUCAGGAUGAACGCUAGCGGCAGGCUUAACACAUGCAAGUCGAGGGGCAGCGGGGAGGAAGCUUGCUUUCUCCGCCGGCGACCGGCGCACGGGUGAGUAACACGUAUGCAACCUGCCCCUGUCAGGGGGACAACCCGCCGAAAGGCGGGCUAAACCCGCGUACAUGCCACCGGGGCAUCCCGGAGGCAGGAAAGGCUUCGGCCGGACAGGGAUGGGCAUGCGGCGCAUUAGGCAGUAGGCGGGGUAACGGCCCACCUAACCGACGAUGCGUAGGGGUUCUGAGAGGAAGGUCCCCCACACUGGUACUGAGACACGGACCAGACUCCUACGGGAGGCAGCAGUGAGGAAUAUUGGUCAAUGGUCGGGAGACUGAACCAGCCAAGCCGCGUGAGGGAGGAAGGUACAGAGUAUCGUAAACCUCUUUUGUCAGGGAACAAAGGCGGGGACGUGUCCCCGGAUGAGUGUACCUGAAGAAAAAGCAUCGGCUAACUCCGUGCCAGCAGCCGCGGUAAUACGGAGGAUGCGAGCGUUAUCCGGAUUUAUUGGGUUUAAAGGGUGCGCAGGCGGUCUGUUAAGUCAGCGGUCAAAGCCCGGGGCUCAACCCCGGCCCGCCGUUGAAACUGGCAGUCUCCAGU